GAUGAAGAACGUAGCGAAAUGCGAUACUUGGUGUGAAUUGCAGAAUCCCGUGAACCAUCGAGUCUUUGAACGCAAGUUGCGCCCGAAGCCAUUAGGCCGAGGGCACGCCUGCCUGGGCGUCACACGUCGUUGCCCCCCCAUCUACUCCUUCGGGAUUGCGGGGGGCGGAUGAUGGCCUCUCGUGCGCCUCGUCGCGCGGUUGGCCUAAAUGCCAAGUCCUCGGCGACGCACGCCACGACAAUCGGUGGUUGCGAAACCUCGGUUGCCUGUCGUGUGCGGUCGUCGCGCAUCGAGGGCUCGAAAAAAUUGCCGGGCUUCGGCUCGACUUUCAACGCGACCCCAGGUCAGGCGGGGUUACCCGCUGAAUUUAAGCAUAUAAAUAAGCGGAGGA
This 391-nucleotide unclassified non-coding RNA is filed under the name soil metagenome. RNAcentral's name for it is "partial contains 5.8S ribosomal RNA, internal transcribed spacer 2, and large subunit ribosomal RNA". The stretch from base 1 to 122 matches the Rfam family "5.8S ribosomal RNA", at positions 35 to 154 of the family's 154-position model. The record is from RNAcentral.